This 433-nucleotide ribosomal RNA is filed under the name uncultured bacterium. Its description in RNAcentral is "partial 16S ribosomal RNA". It matches the Rfam family "Bacterial small subunit ribosomal RNA", at positions 29 to 507 of the family's 1533-position model. The record is from RNAcentral.
AACGAACGCUGGCGGCAUGCCUAACACAUGCAAGUCGAACGAGACCUUCGGGUCUAGUGGCGCACGGGUGCGUAACGCGUGGGAACCUGCCCUUAGGUUCGGAAUAACUCCCCGAAAGGGGUGCUAAUACCGGAUAAUGUCUUCGGACCAAAGAUUUAUCGCCUUUGGAUGGGCCCGCGUUGGAUUAGCUAGUUGGUAGGGUAAAAGCCUACCAAGGCGACGAUCCAUAGCUGGUCUGAGAGGAUGAUCAGCCACACUGGGACUGAGACACGGCCCAGACUCCUACGGGAGGCAGGAGUGGGGAAUAUUGGACAGUGGGCGAAGGCCUGAUCCAGCAAGGCCGGGUGAGUGAUGAAGGCCUUAGGGUUGUAAAGCUCUUUUACCCGGGAUGAUAAUGACGGUACCGGGUGAAUAAGCUCCGGCUAACUCCGUG